CGAGUGGCGAACGGGUGAGUAACACGUGAGUAACCUGCCCACAACUUUGGGAUAACGCUAGGAAACUGGUGCUAAUACUGGAUAUGUGCUCCUGCUGCAUGGUGGGGGUUGGAAAGUUUCGGCGGUUGGGGAUGGACUCGCGGCUUAUCAGCUUGUUGGUGGGGUAGUGGCUUACCAAGGCUUUGACGGGUAGCCGGCCUGAGAGGGUGACCGGCCACAUUGGGACUGAGAUACGGCCCAG
RNAcentral lists this ribosomal RNA (241 nucleotides) under uncultured Actinomycetales bacterium. RNAcentral describes it as "partial 16S ribosomal RNA". It matches the Rfam family "Bacterial small subunit ribosomal RNA", at positions 92 to 334 of the family's 1533-position model. Lineage: Bacteria; Bacillati; Actinomycetota; Actinomycetes; Actinomycetales. The record is from RNAcentral.